Long non-coding RNA from Eurytemora carolleeae, 161 nucleotides. RefSeq lists it as uncharacterized. Lineage: Eukaryota; Metazoa; Arthropoda; Copepoda; Calanoida; Temoridae. The record is from RefSeq and is a predicted model, not a curated record. The transcript has 3 exons.
GAGAGAGCGAUUGACAUUAACGACAAUCUAAAUGAACAUAUUCGAAUCCAAGAUAACCGUAAAUUGGCUGAAGUCUGUAAUCCUAGAACGAAAACUUAUUUAAAUCGAGAACUCAGGUUGGCCUCUUGUGCGUUUAGUUGCAUUCAAAAUGCUACCUUACA